Molecule: non-coding RNA, 98 nt
Filed under: Arenimonas metalli
Lineage: Bacteria; Pseudomonadati; Pseudomonadota; Gammaproteobacteria; Lysobacterales; Lysobacteraceae
Also listed under: 1 other name
Description: TPP sequence
Rfam family: TPP riboswitch aptamer (THI element)
About the family: Vitamin B(1) in its active form thiamin pyrophosphate (TPP) is an essential coenzyme that is synthesised by coupling of pyrimidine and thiazole moieties in bacteria. The previously detected thiamin-regulatory element, thi box was extended, resulting in a new, highly conserved RNA secondary structure, the THI element, which is widely distributed in eubacteria and also occurs in some archaea.
Source: RNAcentral
CGCCUGAAGCGGGGGUGCCCGGGCGUGACGCGGGCUGAGAAUUACCCUUCGAACCUGAUCCGGCUCGCACCGGCGUAGGGAGCUUCGUGGUGCGGGCC